GAUGAACGCUAGCUACAGGCUUAACACAUGCAAGUCGAGGGGAAACGAUAGAGAAAGCUUGCUUUUUCUAGGCGUCGACCGGCGCACGGGUGAGUAACGCGUAUCCAACCUGCCCAUCACUUGGGGAUAACCUUGCGAAAGUAAGACUAAUACCCAAUGACGUCUCUAGAAGACAUCUGAAGGAGAUUAAAGAUUUAUCGGUGAUGGAUGGGGAUGCGUCUGAUUAGCUUGUUGGCGGGGUAACGGCCCACCAAGGCGACGAUCAGUAGCCGGACUGAGAGGUUGAACGGCCACAUUGGGACUGAGAUACGGCCCAGACUCCUACGGGAGGCAGCAGUGGGGAAUAUUGGGCAAUGGGCGCAAGCCUGACCCAGCAACGCCGCGUGAAGGAAGAAGGCUUUCGGGUUGUAAACUUCUUUUGUCUAGGGACGAGUAGAAGACGGUACCUGACGAAUAAGCCACGGCUAACUACGUGCCAGCAGCCGCGGU
Molecule: ribosomal RNA, 489 nt
Filed under: uncultured bacterium
Lineage: Bacteria
Description: bacterial SSU rRNA
Rfam family: Bacterial small subunit ribosomal RNA
Source: RNAcentral